GCCUGGGUGGCUCAGUCGGUGGAGCGUCUGACUUCAGCUCACGUCAUGAUCUCACAGCUCGUGGGUUCAAGCCCCGCGUCGGGCU
Molecule: transfer RNA, 85 nt
Filed under: Felis catus (domestic cat)
Lineage: Eukaryota; Metazoa; Chordata; Mammalia; Carnivora; Felidae
Rfam family: tRNA
About the family: Transfer RNA (tRNA) molecules are approximately 80 nucleotides in length.
Source: Rfam by way of RNAcentral